CUGCGAAUGGCUCGGUAAAACAGCAAUAAUUUCUUCGGUGAAUGAUUUACUCAACGGAUAACCGUAGUAAUUCUAGAGCUAAUACGUGACCACUCAAGGUGACAGGCGCAUACUGUGUGUAAAAGCACAAGCACCGUCACCAGGCCGUUUAGAUAACAACACCAACAUAUGGUGAUUCAUAAACGUCUUUCUGAUCGUUCGUGAGAACGACGCACCGUUCAAAUUUCUGACCUAUCAACUUUCGAUGGUAAGGUAGUGUCUUACCAUGGUGGCAACGGGUAACGGACCGUGGGUGCGGGACUCCGGAGAGGGAGCCUGAGAAACGGCUACCACAUCCAAGGAAGGCAGCAGGCGCGCAACUUACCCAAUCCAGACUCUGGGAGGUAGUGACAAGAAAUAUCAAUAGGGGAUCCUAUGGGUCUUCUAAUUGGAAUGAGAACAAGCUAAACAGCUUAUCGAGAAUCCAGCAGAGGGCAAGUCUGGUGCCAGCAGCCGCGGUAAUUCCAGCU
RNAcentral lists this ribosomal RNA (509 nucleotides) under Hydrolithon sp. SWD-2014. RNAcentral describes it as "SSU rRNA". It matches the Rfam family "Eukaryotic small subunit ribosomal RNA", at positions 87 to 590 of the family's 1831-position model. Lineage: Eukaryota; Rhodophyta; Florideophyceae; Corallinales; Hydrolithaceae. The record is from RNAcentral.